GAACAAACGCUGGCGGCGUGUCUUAAGCAUGCAAGUUGAGCGGCAAGGAGGAGAGAUCCUCCCUAGAGCAGCGGACUGGUGAGUAACGCGUGGGUAAUCUAUCUUAGGCAUGGGGAUAGUCACUAGAAAUAGUGGGUAAUACCGAAUAAGUUCCAUAAGGGGAGGACUUAUGGAAGAAAGGUGCUACGGCACUGGCCUUAGGUGAGCUCGCGUCCCAUUAGCUAGUUGGUGAGGUAAAGGCCCACCAAGGCGAUGAUGGGUAGCCGGCCUGAGAGGGUGUACGGCCACACUGGGACUGAGAUACGGCCCAGACUCCUACGGGAGGCAGCAGCUAAGAAUAUUCCGCAAUGGACGGAAGUCUGACGGAGCGACGCCGCGUGGAUGAAGAAGGCCGAAAGGUUGUAAAGUUCUUUUGCUAGGGGAGAAUAAGUGUGGGAGGGAAUGCCUGCACGAUGACAAGGACUAGCGAAUAAGUCCCGGCCAACUACGUGCCAGCAGCCGCGGUAACACGUAGGGGGCGAGCGUUGUUCGGAAUUACUGGGCGUAAAGGGCAUGUAGGCGGCUUGGUAAGCCUGGCGUGAAAGUCUGCAGCUUAACUGUAGGGAUGCGUUGGGAACUGCUUAGCUUGAGUUACGGAGAGGGAGCUGGAAUUCCUGGUGUAGGGGUGAAAUCUGUAGAUAUCAGGAAGAACACCGAUGGCGAAGGCAAGCUUCUGGCCGACAACUGACGCUGAGGUGCGAAAGUGUGGGGAUCAAACAGGAUUAGAUACCCUGGUAGUCCACACAGUAAACGAUGUGCACGAGGUGCUGGGGCGGUAGUUUCAGUGCCGGAGCGAACGCGGUAAGUGCACCGCCUGGGGAGUAUGCUCGCAAGGGUGAAACUCAAAGGAAUUGACGGGGGCCCGCACAAGCGGUGGAGCAUGUGGUUUAAUUCGAUGGUACACGAGGAACCUUACCUGGGUUUGACAUACGGAGGGAAGUGGCAGAGAUGUCACUGCGUAGAGAUACGGCUCCGUACAGGUGCUGCAUGGCUGUCGUCAGCUCGUGUCGUGAGAUGUUGGGUUAAGUCCCGCAACGAGCGCAACCCCUGUCGUUAGUUACAAGUGUCUAGCGAGACUGCCGGUAUAAAACCGGAGGAAGGUGGGGAUGACGUCAAGUCAGCAUGGCCUUUAUAUCCAGGGCUACACACACGCUACAAUGGGCAGUACAAUGGGAAGCGAAAGGGCGACCUGGAGCGAAUCCUAUCAAAGCUGUUCGUAGUUCAGAUUGUAGGCUGCAACCCGCCUACAUGAAGCCGGAGUUGCUAGUAAACGCAGGUCAGCUAUACUGCGUUGAAUACGUUCCCGGGCCU
RNAcentral lists this ribosomal RNA (1350 nucleotides) under uncultured bacterium. RNAcentral describes it as "bacterial SSU rRNA". It matches the Rfam family "Bacterial small subunit ribosomal RNA", at positions 27 to 1381 of the family's 1533-position model. The record is from RNAcentral.